UUAGUGGCGGACGGGUGAGUAACGCGUGGGUAACCUGCCUUACACAGGGGGAUAACACUUAGAAAUAGGUGCUAAAACCGCAUAAGCGCACAGCUUCGCAUGAAGCGGUGUGAAAAACUCCGGUGGUGUAAGAUGGACCCGCGUCUGAUUAGCUGGUUGGCAGGGUAAAGGCCUACCAAGGCGACGAUCAGUAGCCGGCCUGAGAGGGUGAACGGCCACAUUGGGACUGAGACACGGCCCAGACUCCUACGGAAGGCAGCAG
RNAcentral lists this ribosomal RNA (262 nucleotides) under uncultured bacterium. Its description in RNAcentral is "partial 16S ribosomal RNA". It matches the Rfam family "Bacterial small subunit ribosomal RNA", at positions 92 to 354 of the family's 1533-position model. The record is from RNAcentral.